Poecilia latipinna (sailfin molly) is the source of this 572-nucleotide long non-coding RNA. RefSeq lists it as uncharacterized. The transcript is spliced from 2 exons. The record is from RefSeq and is a predicted model, not a curated record. Lineage: Eukaryota; Metazoa; Chordata; Actinopteri; Cyprinodontiformes; Poeciliidae.
ACUCCUCAUGAACAUGGAAUUAUAACAAGAUAUAAAGCUCAAAUCUAAACAAUUGAUGGUGAUAUACACACCAAAUAAGGGCUGUUCACUUUAAUUUAUCAACCCUUUGUUUUUGAAUUUUGGGGGAUUUUUUCUGUUUGACUUUCUGCAUUGAGUUGUUCUUCUUGUGUCAUCUAUCCUGAAUUAUUGAUCAAAAAGUAAAAAAAUUGUAAAGAGAAAAAUGUUUCUCCCAAAAGGAAGGAUGGAGAUAGAAAAUUCCAUGAAACAACAGGUCUUGUUUUUAUUUGUUUUUUGUUUGUGUAUUUUGUCUGGUUGCAGAGAGGAUCACACCUGUCGACAACAAACAAAGGUUUAAGAACUACUGACUUUUCAGUCAGAAAUGAUCACACCGCCUGGUUGAAGUCUCCAUAUGCAAGUCAACAAAGCAGAGAGGAAACACCCGAUUGACAACAUGCGAGUCUCAAUUUCAACCUGUGACUGGGAAGACUACAACCAUCCUGAGCAAAGUCUGAACUCAGUGACUCUCAACCCAGAACAAGAAUCGUUUUAUCACCGGUUUUUCUUCUACAACA